RNAcentral lists this transfer RNA (81 nucleotides) under Geonoma undata subsp. dussiana. RNAcentral describes it as "tRNA-Cys". The stretch from base 1 to 71 matches the Rfam family "tRNA". From Rfam's summary of the family: Transfer RNA (tRNA) molecules are approximately 80 nucleotides in length. Their secondary structure includes four short double-helical elements and three loops (D, anti-codon, and T loops). Further hydrogen bonds mediate the characteristic L-shaped molecular structure. tRNAs have two regions of fundamental functional importance: the anti-codon, which is responsible for specific mRNA codon recognition, and the 3' end, to which the tRNAs corresponding amino acid is attached (by aminoacyl-tRNA synthetases). tRNAs cope with the degeneracy of the genetic code in two manners: having more than one tRNA (with a specific anti-codon) for a particular amino acid; and 'wobble' base-pairing, i.e. permitting non-standard base-pairing at the 3rd anti-codon position. The record is from RNAcentral. Lineage: Eukaryota; Viridiplantae; Streptophyta; Magnoliopsida; Arecales; Arecaceae.
GGCGGCAUGGCCAAGUGGUAAGGCAGGGGACUGCAAAUCCUUUAUCCCCAGUUCAAAUCCGGGUGUCGCCUGAUCAACAAA